ACGGGUGAGUAACGCGUGGGAAUCUACCGUACCCUACGGAAUAGCUCCGGGAAACUGGAAUUAAUACCGUAUACGCCCUUCGGGGGAAAGAUUUAUCGGGGUAUGAUGAGCCCGCGUUGGAUUAGCUAGUUGGUGGGGUAAAGGCCUACCAAGGCGACGAUCCAUAGCUGGUCUGAGAGGAUGAUCAGCCACAUUGGGACUGAGACACGGCCCAAACUCCUACGGGAGGCAGCAGUGGGGGAUAUUGGACAAUGGGCGCAAGCCUGAUCCAGCCAUGCCGCGUGAGUGAUGAAGGCCCUAGGGUUGUAAAGCUCUUUCACCGGUGAAGAUAAUGACGGUAACCGGAGAAGAAGCCCCGGCUAACUUCGUGCCAGCAGCCGCGGUAAUACGAAGGGGGCUAGCGUUGUUCGGAAUUACUGGGCGUAAAGCGCACGUAGGCGGAUAUUUAAGUCAGGGGUGAAAUCCCAGAGCUCAACUCUGGAACUGCCUUUGAUACUGGGUAUCUCGAGUAUGGAAGAGGUGAGUGGAAUUCCGAGUGUAGAGGUGAAAUUCGUAGA
RNAcentral lists this ribosomal RNA (557 nucleotides) under uncultured bacterium. Its description in RNAcentral is "bacterial SSU rRNA". It matches the Rfam family "Bacterial small subunit ribosomal RNA", at positions 102 to 694 of the family's 1533-position model. The record is from RNAcentral.